GUCAUUGUGUGGGAAAUGAGGAAGAGAGAACUAUUUAUGUUAUGCUGAUCUCUUUGGGAUGGGAAGUUCUACCCAGAUUCAUUAACCUUCUUUUAACUCACCAGCAAUUAUCAAGGUCCACAAGGACACCCUUUUGUGAAAUAAAUAUAAGAAAAGGGAUUUUAAGAAUGCCACAUUUCAGCUGGCCCAUAGUGGACCAGUGGCGCUGAAUAUGGGCCCAUUAGGUAUGGCGAGCUUGCCGCAAUCCCAAAUGGAAUCCUCCAUGGAAUCUUUUGUUUGGGGGCAUAUUUGUAAUUAGGACCCACUGCGGUUUUCCCCUUCAGUUUCUCACCCUCUUUGCAGCGGGGCAGACUGAUGGGCUUAAGAGGGUGAGGGGAUCCACCAUUUUGACUUGUCAACAAUGGAGGAAAAGCACCAGAAAGCUCCUUUUCACAAAAAGAAGCAUGAUUUUUGCAUUGGCACACUGCGCUUAUAUCGAUAUAUAAAAAUUUGAUCACUGUUUGUUCAGCGUCAAAUCACUGAUUCACUUCUGUGGCGGGAAGGGACAGGGGAGUAACGAUGGCACGCCAACUGCAAAGGGACAACAUGAGCCGCCUUUUCCCAAGCUCUCCAGAUUCCUGAUUGUCCCUUCCCCGAUGUGCCAGAGAAGCCAUGGCAUUUAAUAUCCGUAGAUGGAAGGAGUCGGCAACAGCAUGGGGUCAAGGGGGAAGCCAUAGUAGGACAUCUCGAGGGAGUGGGAGGGGUGAAGCUAGGUAGGCUGGCCAUAGGCAGAGGAAAGAUCCAUGGAGCAAAGCUGUGCUCACUGGCAAAUCUGCCCCGCUCUGGCCAAAGGACAUUAAGUUGUGCCACAAGUGGUCUCGCUGUGGGGAGAAUGGAGAGUGAAAGCGAGGCUCAGGGAAGUACGUCUGUAUAAAAAAUCUUGCUGCGACUGACAUUUGCUCCCAGUUCAUUGCAGAUCCCUCAUACAUAAUCAACCACUGUGUACAUUGUUUGCUGAUAGAGACGCACAACCUUAAUUAUAAAAAAAAAUUCUCUAACCCCUGAAAAUCUAGCAGUAUGAACCCAAGAAAGAGGCAGUAUUCUGCCCCUUCAUUUAAUUAGGAUCGAGACCGAUCCUUCUGACUUCCAUUGUUUCAGCUGAUGAGGUAAAUGGCUGCUGUGAUCAACGCACUCUUCUAGAAAGCCGUACUAUCAUCUGAAGAAUGACUGAGCAAAUCCAAACAUGAGAUUAUGGUCCAGUGAAAGGAGAUGGUUUCUGUGCUUCUUCCCCAACUUUUUAUGAUGGAUGCCAGAAGCAGACACAAAGCUAAUUGAUAGACAAAGCUAUGUGUGUUUGAUUUGCAUAAUUAGCAGGAAGUGUGCAGGAUGUGCCAAUCAGGUUGCCCGGAAUUUGGGGAAGAACUGGAAUAUUGCAACCUUAUCCGGUAGAAGUUUGCCUUUCCCUGAACAGCCAUUCAUCCUUCCUUUGGGCAGCCCGUCUCAGCUUGAAAACCCAAGGUUUUAUGGUGCAAUAUAACUCAGCCUGAUUCACUGCUGUUUCAUUUUUGACAUUUUGCUCCCAGGAAAGUAUUUGCGACAUCCGGAAAAGCUCGCUGUGCAACUUCAGCUCACUGGCAAACCAGGUUCUUUUCAUUCUUCCAUCUAAUUUUCCACCUGCAGAUAUAAUCUUAGUGCAGUGUUGAGGGGGGGUGAUCCUGAAGUGGGCUCCGUUGUCCUGAUGCAACAAGACAGGUUGCUCCAAGAUUGUGAUUCAUUUGGCUUUUGCGGGGCUGAAUGUGGCAUAGCUGGCAGACAAACCUACCAUUGCAUACGGGGCUCUGGAUGGGGACUGCAUCUCUGAGGCCUUGGAUAAGGGCACUGGAAAAACUCAAGGCAGGGAUUUUCACCACAACUUGGCAUUAAGUACACAGGUUUUUUUAAUAAGAAAGAAAGAAAGAAAGAAAGAAAGAAAGAAAGAAAGAAAGAAAGAGGGGAAAGCAAG
Molecule: long non-coding RNA, 1981 nt
Organism: Sphaerodactylus townsendi
Lineage: Eukaryota; Metazoa; Chordata; Lepidosauria; Squamata; Sphaerodactylidae
Exons: 2
Source: RefSeq, a predicted model, not a curated record